Podarcis raffonei (Aeolian wall lizard) is the source of this 1389-nucleotide long non-coding RNA. RefSeq lists it as uncharacterized. The record is from RefSeq and is a predicted model, not a curated record. The transcript has 2 exons. Lineage: Eukaryota; Metazoa; Chordata; Lepidosauria; Squamata; Lacertidae.
ACUAGCUAAAUUGUGUCAAGUUUGAUAGACUAGGAGAAAGAGAAGUCCAGUCUUUUCCCCAGCCCCAUUCCCUUAUUCUUCCCUCUAGCACUGUGGCAACUGCAUCAAGUAGAACACGGGGUGGGGUCAACCCACCACUCCCAAACAUGCUCCGGCUGCUGUGUCCCAAAGCUGAGAGCUGCCUUCAGGUCAUGGGGAAGAGGUAAGGAACACUUUCCCAUGCGAAGAAAAUGCCAAAGAACCUUGAUCUUUAAGAAGAAGACUCCAGUUCAUUUGACCAGGGGAAUAUUCAUUCACUGACAUUCUGUCCCUCCCAGUCACGGCUUCAAACUGCCAUUGAAUCCAUUCUCCUGAAUUAACAGAAAUCACAAAUACCAUUUUUUUCCCUAUGAAAAGCUGUCAGCUUAUGGAUAAUCCUUAGUUGCCCCAUGCAUUCUUCAUAUGCAGCUCUUUCAUGUUAAGAAGGACACAUUAAAGGCAAGGAGGAGGAUGAGCUGAUUCACCUCUUGGAAAUGAGGGAAAUCGGCUGGCUGGCAAUUGCUCUUGCCUUGAUAGGGAGUUAAAUUGGACCCUCCAUGGACCCUCCUGUCUCUAAUCAGGAAAUGAUGGCAGGUCAACAGCAGCACCGAUCCAUCACAACCCAUUUCAAAGUUCUCUGUGUGGAGGCAGAGAACGAAACCUCGCACAGCCACUCACUGAUCAAAAUUGUCCCGGGAGAUAAAUUUCUACUUCUCAUGAGCCUGUUCUGCAGGGGCAAAGAUUUGGUUUUCCCAUUCUCCACUGCAUCCAAGACUGCAGCCUAUGGAACUAAAUGAGAGCCAUGGACAAUGAGACCUGCUCUUACAUCUGCACAGUCAUGUCCCAAUACCCCUUUCUUGGUCAUUCGACUGUGGGGUGGAAUGUUGAGACACAAGAUGGAAACUUAAGACACAAUAUGCAGAUAAAUAUGAAAUAGAAAUUCCCAGAAAUGCUCACAUGCUGAGCCCUCGCACCCACGUAUCACACAUUUCAGCAAAGAUUAAAAACGGAAGAUGAAUUACUACACUAAUCAAGUUAUAAUUACAGCUUAUGCAUACAGUGGUGCUUGAGAGAAGGCGAAGAGGCUGACAUGUGCUGAGCGGGAACGGAACAGGCACCAACUGUUGUAUGAGUCAUGGAACUUACAAAUGACUAAGUGGAGACAGAAGCCCAGCUGCAUUUCAAGAAAAAGGGCAUGAGAAGGGAUGAUGAUGGUGGUGAUGAUGGUGAUGAUGAGAACAACAGCAACAACAACAACACUCCACCCAUCUGACUGAGUUUCCUCAGCCACUUUGGGUGGCUUACAGCACAUAUAAAAACAUAGUAAAAUGUCAAACAUUAAAAACUUCCCUAUAUAGGGCUGCUUCCAGA